UUGAAGGAGCUGUCUAGCAUUCUAUAAGUGAAGCUUUGCUAGUGUUUCUGUGGUUAGUCUUUUCAUGCUACUAAAGAAGUACUUUGCCUUGAAUCCUGAGGACUAUAGAUAGAGGUUGCUGCAGUGCUGGGCAAUGCUAAUAUCCUGUCUCCAGGGUAACUACAGUAGAUUGCCAGGCAGUUAGUCUCUGCCAGUUUCACAAGGCAGUUCAACAAUGUUGUCAGUCGCUAUUCCAGAGAGCGUGUUGCAACAUUAAUAUUGGUCUAAUCCAGAGCAGUGGAUAUUUUGUGGAUCGAUGGUUGGGCUGGAAAGAAGACCUGGGAGCAGUGGAAAGAGGAUGCUGUCAGGACAGGGUAUGAGUGUAAAGCUGCAGACAGGCAGAUCUGGAAUUAUGGUUUGCAGCCCAAAGUAUAUCUGUAGAGCUUUGAAGAGUUCAUACAGUGCCCAGCAGGGAAUCAAGCCACAGCUAUUAAUCUCUCGUCUCCAGAAGUACUGACUUAUACAUAGCUAAUGUAUUGAUCACAGAGUAAUUGAACUGGUGCACUGGAACCUACCUGCCAGUAGGAGAAAUACUUCUGUAUUUUUUUCCUAUUGUGCAAUUUGAAAGCCAAGUCAAAAUGUCAUACUCUGGGAUUGUCUCAGCAAGCUUAAUGCUUUUUUCUGUCAUGACCUGAGAGAAUUAUCCACAGAGAGCAUUGCUAACACCAAAUGUGUCCAGGAUCCUGUCUCUUCUUUUGCUAGCAGGUACUUUAGUACAUCAGUUUGCUUUUGCAAUACAAUUUGCCUAAAGCCAUGUGAUUGCACUUAAUCGGGAUGCACACUUGAAAAUAUUGAUAAGCAUCUUGGCUGUAGUGGUAGAUACUUCUGCAGGAAGGGCUCCCUGCUGUGUUUCAAUCCAUCCUAGCAGAACUGGGGUGUAAGGCAAAAUCCUUGGAAUCCCAGGACACAGACCCUUAAUGCAGAAGCCGCCACAGAGCUGGUUGCAAGAGGCAGCAAAGCUCUACCAACAGUAUGUGACUGCUAAAAUCCCAAGUCUAUUUGUUGUAGUGUAUCAUAAUGUUAUUUCUCUCUGGUUCCCACUACCUAACAGCAAGUAGAGGGAACGACACACCAGUUAACUGUUUAUAAAUAUCCAGUAUGGUUUAGUUUUGCACAGCCAUCUGUUGACAGAUGACAAUCAGAGUAGGGGGGUGAGACUCAGCAUUUGAGGGGAGGAAGUCUUACCAGUGAAAGGGCUCCAGGGAGAGCCUGAUGGAUGUCAAUGUAUCACCUUUGGCUUCUUAAUGGCUGGAAAGGUGGGUGUGUUGGGGAGGUAUGUUUGGGCUGUAACUGCUGCUCAGACUACUUUGGAGUAUAGGGAUGGUUCCAGAGCUCAAAUGAGAUAUGUGAGAGCAGGCAUGAUGAACUCCUGGAGCAAUUGUAAAGAACAGUAUUUGUAGAGAAGGCAGAAAAAUGAAGGAGAAAAACACCUCUCCACAUAUCUACUACUGCAUUAUAUGGCUUGAGAUAAACUAGGAGAGGGUCACCUUUAGGAGGUCUCCAGAGGCUCCUGAUAGAUGUGUGCAGGGUGGUAUGAGAGAUCUAAAAUAAUGGAUACAUCAUGUCUUUCUUACAUUUAACCUAAAACUGGACUGAAGGGCCUUGUUCUCCUCUACCGUGUGCACUCUCUCUGCUUUAACAACUGGAAGAGACAGAAUUUUUACCUUCUUUUAUUUUCUUCUCCUCUGUCUUAAGGAACAAAUUGCUUAACCUGUUUCCCCCUGCAAAUAUGGGACAAAUUAAUUUAAAGCAAUGUGUUUGUGUGUGCCAUGGUGGAAAGAUGGGAGAAAAAAGAAAACAUUUCACAGGAAGAAUAGAGGAAGGGAAAAUUCCAUGUACUCUUUGGAAUAUGGCUUAGCAGCUUAGAAUCUCAGCAGUACAUUAACCAGGCCAAUAUUUAAUUAAGGCU
Cygnus olor (mute swan) is the source of this 1948-nucleotide long non-coding RNA. RefSeq lists it as uncharacterized. Lineage: Eukaryota; Metazoa; Chordata; Aves; Anseriformes; Anatidae. The transcript has 3 exons. The record is from RefSeq and is a predicted model, not a curated record.